RNAcentral lists this ribosomal RNA (253 nucleotides) under uncultured bacterium. Its description in RNAcentral is "partial 16S ribosomal RNA". It matches the Rfam family "Bacterial small subunit ribosomal RNA", at positions 524 to 776 of the family's 1533-position model. The record is from RNAcentral.
UACGUAGGGGGCUAGCGUUGUCCGGAAUCAUUGGGCGUAAAGAGCGUGUAGGCGGCCCGGUAAGUCCGCUGUGAAAGUCGGGGGCUCAACCCUCGAAUGCCGGUGGAUACUGUCGGGCUAGAGUGCGGAAGAGGCGAGUGGAAUUCCUGGUGUAGCGGUGAAAUGCGCAGAUAUCAGGAGGAACACCGAUUGCGGAGGCAGCUCGCUGGGACGUUACUGACGCUGAGACGCGAAAGCGUGGGGAGCAAACAGG